GGAAACAACGAGUCUUCGUGUUAUUCCGUAACCAUCGUUGUUUGUUAUCACGUUGAAUUCGGAACUAGUUCAAGUCUAACAGAAGGUGCAGCGAAUGUAGCCAUGGCUCGCGACUUUGAGCGGAAAGUUAACUGCACGUGAGUCCGCAGUGCAGACUGCAGUGUCUUUACGUCUCUGUUUCCCGAACGUUCACCUUCUAACGAAUAGCAAACAAAAAGCUGCGUUCCAACCUGACCGAGCGGAAUGGAGGGUAAAAUAACAAAGACGAAGCAGCCAGAUUCUCCAUUUUUAAUGCGUCGAAAUUAUCAAGAUGAUAUUCAAACAGAUAUGUUAUAGAGCAGAAAAAUUGAUGGAAAGUGAGGUUAAUGCGGCAAGAUACCGUGCAUAAAGGAUCAAAGCUUUAAACUUAUCGAAGACAUCUGCAUCCUGCGGACUAAUGCGAAAUAGAGCAUGGAACAUUUGAUCGUUUUAUAAAUUUAGAAGUGCGUACAAGAAACAAAAGAAGCUAUUAUGGGAACUCUUAUAUUGGCAUCGGGCGAUUGUCUUGAAUUAUGUUGGAUAGAGACAAGUAUAAUGACACGGUUGGAAACCAAUCAAUUUCAUGAAAGGAUGAAAAGAAUAGGGUAUUAACCGUAUUAUUUAACUUUCUAUGGCACGUGCCAUAGUCAACAGCAACGUCGGACACAUUGAGACACGUUGAGACACGUUGAGACACGUCGAGACCCAUCGAGCCAUUUCGUGCGAACGCGGCGAAGAAUAACAUGCAACUGAAACAGGAAAACAUCCGAAAAUUAACCACAAACCUGACCCAUGAUGUCUACAUUCGGUCCUAUCUUUGAUCAUCCAUGACUCUCGCCCGCGAUACCUGUGUUUGAUCUGAUCUCCUAAUCCUGAGUCUCACACGAUAAAGUAAGUGGAGUUAAAAAUUAGGUGAAUUUUAAACGUAAUAAUGUUACAAACUGCGUCCCUAAUAAUAUUAUUUCUGUUCUGUAAGAAAGUCCACAAAAUCACUCUAUUUUAAAAGAUAAAACUUAUAGCACAUCUGUAUACACACUGUGUGCCUAAGUAACAGGAAAUAUCUUUCAUAUCAACUACGUUACAAUGAAUCCUCCACGUAUGAACGAAUAAAAUAACAGAAUAAAACGAAUAUCUUCGUGAAAGUUCUAAAUGGCAUUCGAAAUCGUGAGCAAGAGGAGAGGACAAUGUGCGUGGAGACGAAUAAACCGUGCAACAAGAGGCGACCAAUGUUGCAUCUGGACAAAGUGCUUUUAAUUGCAGACUUACGACAGUUAGCACUCGUUUUCUAUGCGGUAAGCAGAGCCUAUACCCACUGGGGCGUAAGAAAACUCGAGCGGCUGUAUUUUAAAACGUAGCAGCCUUAGGGCGUGUUCUAAUUACGCUGUACCGCUUGAUAAAAAGAGUGGCUGCAACACAUGUAAUUCACGGAAAAGAGGUGUCCCGUCGUAAUUAAGUGCCACGACCUGUUUGUCGCCAGGUUCCUUGCCCCAAAAUAAAUCUCUUGUAAUCGAGGGCCAGAAGCGAUACUCUGGGAAAACAAAAGGGGCAAAUCUCCUCCGUGUGAGACGUGAAAGACCAAAAUAUUCGAGGAUCAAUGAUACGGUUUCAAUACCGGGCAAUUGUAAACGACUCUCGAUUCUCGAAAGGGAAAUACUGCGAACACAAAGCAUUGA
Eufriesea mexicana is the source of this 1691-nucleotide long non-coding RNA. RefSeq lists it as uncharacterized. The transcript has 3 exons. NCBI's taxonomy places the organism in Eukaryota, Metazoa, Arthropoda, Insecta, Hymenoptera, Apidae. The record is from RefSeq and is a predicted model, not a curated record.